GCAUGUAGUGCGCUUUGAAAUUUAAUACGUAAGAUAUGUACUCUAAUUUAUUUACUUUUACGUGGUUACCUAGGUCUUUCUUGUGCUUGUGUAAAUUUUUUCCGCUGCAUCAGCAAUUCGAGCUAAUAAAAUAAGUUAUAUGUACAUAUCUUCAACAUGUCUGAAAUGCGUAUCCGUCCACGACAAGUACUCGUACUUAUUAUAGUGUUCCUUGUGAUAUUGCUGAUGGUUCAUCGUAAUGGUAAACGCACAUGCCAGGGUCCGGAGUUUUUACAGACCAUGUACGCUCGGCAUGUGGAAGGCACUUUACCAACAAUUUAUGCCAUAACACCAACGUAUGCACGGCCAUCGCAAAAAGCUGAAUUAACGAGAUUGUCUCAUAUUUUCAUGCUUGUGCCCAACUUGCAUUGGAUCAUCAUUGAAGACGCUAAUACAACUACGUCACUUGUGCGCAACUUGUUGACGCGUGCUGGUUUGGCGGAACGUUCAACACAUCUCCACAUUAAAACCCCGGUAAAUUUUAAAUUAAGAGGCAAAGAUCCCAAUUGGCUGAAACCACGUGGCGUUGAACAACGAAAUUUGGCACUAAGUUGGAUACGUACAAAUGUAGAUCCACAGCGGCAAAGUGUAAUAUUUUUUAUGGAUGAUGACAAUUCUUACAGUGUUGAACUUUUUGCUGAAAUGGCUAAAAUUGAAGCUGGCCGAGUUGGUAUAUGGCCAGUCGGUUUAGUAGGUGGUCUAAUGGUGGAAAAACCAUUACUCAAUGCUGAUAAAACCCAAGUUGUUGGCUUUAAUGCUGCAUGGCGGCCAGAACGACCAUUUCCCAUAGAUAUGGCGGCAUUUGCCAUUAGCACGGAUUUGCUAUUCAAAUAUCCACAGGCACAAUUUGCUUAUGAAGUGGAACGUGGCUACCAAGAAAGUGAGAUUUUGCGACACAUAACAACAAAACAACAACUUCAACCCUUAGCAAAUAAUUGUCGAGAUGUACUGGUUUGGCAUACGCGUACGGAGAAAACUAAUUUGGCAGCUGAACUAAAAUUAAAUAAAGCAGGAAAACGAUCAGAUGAAGGCAUGGAAGUUUAACAUGAGAAUGCAGUUGAAGAGACGGCAGUUAUUAACCGAGUUUUGCCUGGUUUGAUACAUGAACAUACAUAUACAAUAACGUAAAGCCAUUUAACAAAAGCAUAUCUAAAGAAAAUGGUCGUGAUAUGAUAUACAUAGAUAUGAUAUAUUUAGCUAAGAACUAUACAUAUGUACGUUAUAUAUAAGUAGAUAGGUAUCUCAAAGUGCUUCCAAAUAUGUACAUACAUACAUGUAUGAAUGCAUUUUGUAGAUUGGUACAAUUACCAAAUGGGAAAUGAUGAUAAAUAGUUUUAUGGCAAUCUAAAGUAAAUAACAAUUACUUUAUAUAGUGACAAUAAGGGAAUUUAAAAUAUUUAGAAAUUUUCAAAAUAUGCAUACGAUAUUAAAUAAGUCUGCAUUUUAUGAAAAAUUGUAUGUAAUAUUUCCUUUUGCCACAAAGUAGCUGCGCAAUGUAAGAUAAUUGAAAAUGGUAGCCAUAUGUCUGAAC
Molecule: RNA transcript, 1570 nt
Organism: Rhagoletis zephyria (snowberry fruit fly)
Lineage: Eukaryota; Metazoa; Arthropoda; Insecta; Diptera; Tephritidae
Gene: GlcAT-I
Gene name: Glucuronyltransferase I
Source: RefSeq, a predicted model, not a curated record